Non-coding RNA from Acanthosepion pharaonis, 98 nucleotides. NCBI's taxonomy places the organism in Eukaryota, Metazoa, Mollusca, Cephalopoda, Sepiida, Sepiidae. The record is from the annotation of a GenBank genome assembly.
GUUGAAACACCGGUUCUCAUAUGAUCACCUAAGUUAAACAACAUUGAGCCUGGUCAGUACUUAGACAAGUGACCAUCCGGGAAUACCAGAUUCUGUAA